GGGAAUCUUGCACAAUGGGGGAAACCCUGAUGCAGCGACGCCGCGUGAGCGAUGAAGGUUUUCGAAUCGUAAAGCUCUGUCCUAUGGGAAGAUAAUGACGGUACCAUAGGAGGAAGCCCCGGCUAACUACGUGCCAGCAGCCGCGGUAAUACGUAGGGGGCGAGCGUUGUCCGGAAUUACUGGGCGUAAAGGGUUCGCAGGCGGCAUGGCAAGUCCGAUGUAAAAGGCGAAGGCUCAACCUUCGUAAGCAUCGGAAACUGUCAAGCUUGAGUGAAGGAGAGGCAAGUGGAAUUCCUAGUGUAGCGGUGGAAUGCGUAGAUAUUAGGAGGAAUACCGGUGGCGAAGGCGACUUGCUGGACUUCAACUGACGCUGAGGAACGAAAGCGUGGGUAGCAAA
RNAcentral lists this ribosomal RNA (397 nucleotides) under uncultured bacterium. Its description in RNAcentral is "bacterial SSU rRNA". It matches the Rfam family "Bacterial small subunit ribosomal RNA", at positions 357 to 772 of the family's 1533-position model. The record is from RNAcentral.